This 497-nucleotide ribosomal RNA is filed under the name uncultured bacterium. Its description in RNAcentral is "partial 16S ribosomal RNA". It matches the Rfam family "Bacterial small subunit ribosomal RNA", at positions 28 to 507 of the family's 1533-position model. The record is from RNAcentral.
GAUGAACGCUGGCGGCGUGCCUAAUACAUGCAAGUCGAGCGAACAGACGAGGAGCUUGCUCCUCUGACGUUAGCGGCGGACGGGUGAGUAACACGUGGAUCCCCUACCUAUAAGACUGGGAUAACUUCGGGAAACCGGAGCUAAUCCGGGAUAAUAUAUUGCACCGCAUGGUUCAUUGGUGAAUGACGGUUUUGCUGUCACUUCUAGCUGGUUCCGGGCUGCAUUGGCUAGUUGGUACGGUAACGGCUUACCAAGGCUACGAUGCGUUGCCGACCUGCGAGAGUGAUCGGCCACACUGGAACGGAGACACGGUCCAGAGUCCUACGAGAGGCAGCAGUAGGGAACCGUCGGCAAUGGGCGAAAGCCUGACGGAGCGGCGCCACGUGAGUGAUGAAGGUCUUCGGAUCGUGAAGCUCUGUUAUGAGGGAAAAACAAAUGUGUAAGUAACUAUGCACGUCUUGACGGUACCGAAUCAGAAAGCCACGGCUAACUACGUG